GAUGAACGCUGGCGGCGUGCCUAAUACAUGCAAGUCGAGCGAACAGACGAGGAGCUUGCUCCUCUGACGUUAGCGGCGGACGGGUGAGUAACACGUGGAUAACCUACCUAUAAGACUGGGAUAACUUCGGGAAACCUGAGCUAAUACCGGAUAAUAUAUUGAACCGCAUGGUUCAAUAGUGAAAGACGGUUUUGCUGUCACUUAUAGAUGGAUCCUCGCCGCAUUAGCUAGUUGGUAAGGUAACGGCUUACCAAGGCAACGAUGCGUAGCCGACCUGAGAGGGUGAUCGGCCACACUGGAACUGAGACACGGUCCCGACUCCUACGGGAGGCAGCAGUAGGGAAUCUUCCGCAAUGGGCGAGAGCCUGACGGAGCAACGCCGCGUGAGUGAUGAAGGUCUUCGGAUCGUAAAACUCUGUUAUUAGGGAAGAACAAAUGUGUAAGUAACUAUGCACGUCUUGACGGUACCUAAUCAGAAAGCCACGGCUAACUACGUG
Molecule: ribosomal RNA, 497 nt
Filed under: uncultured bacterium
Lineage: Bacteria
Description: partial 16S ribosomal RNA
Rfam family: Bacterial small subunit ribosomal RNA
Source: RNAcentral